RNAcentral lists this ribosomal RNA (501 nucleotides) under uncultured bacterium. RNAcentral describes it as "partial 16S ribosomal RNA". It matches the Rfam family "Bacterial small subunit ribosomal RNA", at positions 30 to 523 of the family's 1533-position model. The record is from RNAcentral.
AUUGAACGCUGGCGGCAGGCUUAACACAUGCAAGUCGAGCGGGGGAAGGUAGCUUGCUACCGGACCUAGCGGCGGACGGGUGAGUAAUGCUUAGGAAUCUGCCUAUUAGUGGGGGACAACAUUCCGAAAGGAAUGCUAAUACCGCAUACGUCCUACGGGGGAAAGCAGGGGAUCCUCGGACCUUGCGCUAAUAGAUGAGCCUAAGUCGGAUUAGCUAGUUGGUGGGGUAAAGGCCUACCAAGGCGACGAUCUGUAGCGGGUCUGAGAGGAUGAUCCGCCACACUGGGACUGAGACACGGCCCAGACUCCUACGGGAGGCAGCAGUGGGGAAUAUUGGACAAUGGGGGGAACCCUGAUCCAGCCAUGCCGCGUGUGUGAAGAAGGCCUUUUGGUUGUAAAGCACUUUAAGCGAGGAGGAGGCUCCUUUAGUUAAUACCUAAAGAGAGUGGACGUUACUCGCAGAAUAAGCACCGGCUAACUCUGUGCCAGCCGCCGCCGUAA